CGUGUAGGCGGUUUUGCAAGUCAGAUGUGAAAUUCCCAGGCUUAACCUGGGCGCUGCAUCUGAAACUGCAAGACUUGAGUACUGGAGAGGAUAGUGGAAUUCCUAGUGUAGCGGUAAAAUGCGCAGAUAUUAGGAGGAACACCGGUGGCGAAGGCGACUAUCUGGACAGUAACUGACGCUGAGGCGCGAAAGCGUGGGGAGCAAACAG
This 208-nucleotide ribosomal RNA is filed under the name uncultured Saccharofermentans sp. RNAcentral's name for it is "partial 16S ribosomal RNA". It matches the Rfam family "Bacterial small subunit ribosomal RNA", at positions 568 to 775 of the family's 1533-position model. The record is from RNAcentral. Lineage: Bacteria; Bacillati; Bacillota; Clostridia; Eubacteriales; Oscillospiraceae.